Molecule: transfer RNA, 71 nt
Filed under: Loxodonta africana (African savanna elephant)
Lineage: Eukaryota; Metazoa; Chordata; Mammalia; Proboscidea; Elephantidae
Rfam family: tRNA
About the family: Transfer RNA (tRNA) molecules are approximately 80 nucleotides in length.
Source: Rfam by way of RNAcentral
GCAGUGGUGGUUCAGUAGUAGAAUUCUCACCUUCCACGUAGGGGAUCUGGGUUUAGUUCCCAGCCAAUACG